UUUCAUCUCUCAUCGUAUUCUUCUUCUAUGGCUCUCACUCUCGUAUGCAUCAACUUUCCCUGUCAUCGACAAAAAUCAAUCUCAAACCAAAACUUCCCUAAUCUUCUCCUAUGAUUUACUCUUCUUCUUUAUCUCAUCUUUUCUCCUAACCUUUUUUUUUUUUUUUAGUUUAUUAUGUGAAUUAUGCCAGGGAAAAUAUAUCUCUACAAAAUUUUGUUCUGGUUGGGAAGAAGGAACCCUACCCAUCUCCAUAUUCAAGGAAAAUGCUUUGAGAACUGUGUUAUUGUGGAAGCUUGAUAAUGUAGAAAAGAAUGACAAAUGCCAAAUAACAAUGAUAUCCACAUGGUCUUCCUCAACACAUGGUGGUUCAUAAAUUCACUAAAAAGAGAAAGAAUGUGGUCAUAGUAUAUGAUUGAUUGAGAGGCAGAGACAAUCUUUCAUAUUAGCAACUCAAAUCUUUCACGCACUCUAUCUCUCGAUUGGACUCGUCGUACUAGUAGGAAAGAAAACCAUGAAAGAGAAUCUAUUAGCAAAACAAAGAGAGAAGCAGAAAGUUACAUGGGAUGGUUUGGGUGAAGAAAUGAAGAGGAUCAUUUGCAUAGCAGUGCCUAUGGUAAUUGUGACUGCUACCCAGUAUUUAUUGCAGGUUGUGUCAAUCAUGAUGGUUGGUCACCUCAAUAACAAUCUCUAUCUCUCUGGCGCCGCCUUAGCCAUCUCUCUUGCCACCGUUACUGGUUUCAGUGUUCUUGCAGGAAUGGCUAGUGGACUGGAAACUAUUUGUGGACAGGCUUAUGGAGCUCAGCAAUAUGAAAAAGUUGGAGUGCAAACAUACACUGCUAUAUUCUCUCUCACAGUCGUUUGUCUUCCCCUAACUUUCAUUUGGAUCAGCAUGGAAAAGAUCCUAGUUUUCAUAGGCCAGGACCCUCUAAUUGCACAAGAAGCAGGAAAAUUCUUAAUCUGGCUUGUUCCCGCACUUUUUGCACAUGCAAUUAUGCAGCCGUUUGUUCGAUAUUUUCAAAUGCAAAGUCUGCUUCUUCCCAUGCUUAUAAGUUCUUGUGUCACUCUUUGUAUCCAUAUACCCCUUUGUUGGGCUUUGGUGUUCCAGACUGGAAUGAAUAAUAUUGGUGGAGCAUUAGCAAUGAGCAUUUCAAUAUGGUUAAAUGUGACUUUUCUUGGAUUAUACAUGAGAUACUCUCCUGCUUGUGCAAAAACCCGUGCACCCAUUUCUAUGGAGCUGUUCCAAGGAAUUUGGGAGUUCUUUCGCUUUGCUAUCCCUUCUGCAGUGAUGAUUUGCCUUGAAUGGUGGUCGUUUGAGCUGCUUAUCUUGCUGUCUGGGCUGCUACCGAAUCCACAACUUGAAACAUCAGUUCUAUCCAUUUGUCUCAACACCAUUAGCACUCUCUUUUCAAUACCUUUUGGAAUUGCUGCUGCUGCAAGCACAAGGAUUUCAAAUGAAUUAGGAGCAGGGAAUCCACAUGCUGCCCAUGUUGCUGUGUUGGCUGCAAUGUCUUUUGCAAUCAUGGAGACAGCUAUAGUUAGCGGAACCCUCUUUGUCUGUCGCCAUGAUUUUGGUUAUAUUUUCAGCAAUGAGAAGGAAGUUGUUGAUUAUGUCACUGUCAUGGCUCCUCUGAUUUGCAUAUCUGUUAUACUGGACAGCAUACAAGGCGUUCUCGCUGGGGUUGCUAGAGGUUGUGGAUGGCAACACAUAGGGGUUUAUGUGAAUCUAGGGGCAUUCUACCUUUGUGGGAUUCCUGUUGCUGCCACACUGGCAGUUUUGGCUAAAAUGAGAGGAAAAGGACUUUGGAUUGGUGUACAAGUCGGUGCUUUUGUUCAAUGUAUUCUAUUUUCUACCAUAACAAGUUGCAUAAAUUGGGAACAACAGGCUAUCAAGGCAAGAAAAAGGUUAUUUGAUAGCGAAAUUUCAGCAGACAAUAGACUCGUAUAAGAAACCCAUGAUCAAAGGCCGAUUUUCUAAUGACAUGAACAACUCUCCAUGAAUGAGAAAGACUUCAAGAGGCUUGGAGUCGUGGUUUUAAGAGUAAAUGAUUUCAGAUUCUACUUAUGCCAUAUCGAUUAUCAGGAGUACCAAUAUGUUCCACCCCUCUGCAGUAAUCAUCAAAAGAAUUCAAGCACUUCUCUGUUUAAGUAGGACUGUUCAUGUUAGACAUACAUUACAUCAAGGUAAUGCAUGGGCAGAUUUCUUAGCCAAAAAGAGUGCUUCUCAAGAGAAACAAUUUCUAACUUGGAAUGAUCCCACUUCAGAAGACAUAUCCACUGUACUGAUGGCAGAUGCUAUGGGUGUUGCAUUCACCCGAGAAUCGUAGUUAUUUUUUUAGGUUCUUUGUGUUGUUUUUAUUUUAUUCCUUUUGUACCAAAAAUAAAAUACAUUGAGCUCCCCUAGUUCUAAUAUAUGUAUAAUUAGUAUUUUAGUUUGUAUUUUUUUAAAAAUGUAUUUUUAAUGUGAA
Molecule: RNA transcript, 2465 nt
Organism: Glycine soja
Lineage: Eukaryota; Viridiplantae; Streptophyta; Magnoliopsida; Fabales; Fabaceae
Gene name: protein DETOXIFICATION 12-like
Exons: 10
Source: RefSeq, a predicted model, not a curated record